Molecule: non-coding RNA, 28 nt
Filed under: Homo sapiens (human)
Lineage: Eukaryota; Metazoa; Chordata; Mammalia; Primates; Hominidae
Source: RNAcentral
CAGCAGAACAAAUGGUGGUGACCAAAGU